CCUACGGGUGGCAGCAGUGGGGAAUAUUGCACAAUGGGCGCAAGCCUGAUGCAGCCAUGCCGCGUGUGUGAAGAAGGCCUUCGGGUUGUAAAGCACUUUCAGCGGGGAGGAAGGCGGUGAGGUUAAUAACCUCAUCGAUUGACGUUACCCGCAGAAGAAGCACCGGCUAACUCCGUGCUAGCAGCCGCGGUAAUACGGAGGGUGCAAGCGUUAAUCGGAAUUACUGGGCGUAAAGCGCACGCAGGCGGUCUGUCAAGUCGGAUGUGAAAUCCCCGGGCUCAACCUGGGAACUGCAUUCGAAACUGGCAGGCUAGAGGCUUGUAGAGGGGGGUAGAAUUCCAGGUGUAGCGGUGAAAUGCGUAGAGAUCUGGAGGAAUACCGGUGGCGAAGGCGGCCCCCUGGACAAAGACUGACGCUCAGGUGCGAAAGCGUGGGGAGCAAACAGGAUUAGAUACCCGUGUAGUC
Molecule: ribosomal RNA, 465 nt
Filed under: uncultured Klebsiella sp.
Lineage: Bacteria; Pseudomonadati; Pseudomonadota; Gammaproteobacteria; Enterobacterales; Enterobacteriaceae
Description: bacterial SSU rRNA
Rfam family: Bacterial small subunit ribosomal RNA
Source: RNAcentral